Small nucleolar RNA from Coturnix japonica (Japanese quail), 64 nucleotides. Its record names the gene SNORD63. It matches the Rfam family "Small nucleolar RNA SNORD63". From Rfam's summary of the family: snoRNA U63 is found in both humans and mice. U63 is a member of the C/D class of snoRNA which contain C (UGAUGA) and D (CUGA) box motifs. Most of the members of the box C/D family function in directing site-specific 2'-O-methylation of substrate RNAs. The record is from Ensembl. Lineage: Eukaryota; Metazoa; Chordata; Aves; Galliformes; Phasianidae.
GUGCUAUGAUGGAAUGUCAACACAUCAUUCUGAAGAAUUGUGUAGAGACCUGUAACUGAGCACA